CCUACGGGAGGCAGCAGUAGGGAAUCUUCCACAAUGGUCGAAAGCCUGAUGGAGCAACGCCGCGUGGGUGAAGAAGGUCUUCGGAUCGUAAAACCCUGUUGUUAGAGAAGAAAGUGCGUGAGAGUAACUGUUCACGUUUCGACGGUAUCUAACCAGAAAGCCACGGCUAACUACGUGCCAGCAGCCGCGGUAAUACGUAGGUGGCAAGCGUUAUCCGGAUUUAUUGGGCGUAAAGGGAACGCAGGCGGUCUUUUAAGUCUGAUGUGAAAGCCUUCGGCUUAACCGGAGUAGUGCAUUGGAAACUGGGAGACGUGAGUGCAGAAGAGGAGAGUGGAACUCGAUGUGUAGCGGUGAAAUGCGUAGAUAUAUGGAAGAACACCAGUGGCGAAAGCGGCUCUCUGGUCUGUAACUGACGCUGAGGUUCGAAAGCGUGGGUAGCAAACAGGAUUAGAUACCCUGGUAGUC
This 465-nucleotide ribosomal RNA is filed under the name uncultured bacterium. Its description in RNAcentral is "partial 16S ribosomal RNA". It matches the Rfam family "Bacterial small subunit ribosomal RNA", at positions 338 to 795 of the family's 1533-position model. The record is from RNAcentral.